RNAcentral lists this ribosomal RNA (470 nucleotides) under uncultured bacterium. RNAcentral's name for it is "bacterial SSU rRNA". It matches the Rfam family "Bacterial small subunit ribosomal RNA", at positions 84 to 542 of the family's 1533-position model. The record is from RNAcentral.
GCCAGAGCCGAGCGGCGUAAGGGGCAGUAAGGCGUGGGUAACGUACCCCCCGGACUGGGAUAACCUCGGGAAACCGAGGCUAAUACCGGGCGACGUCUUGAGGGCACAUGCCCUCGGGACCAAACGUGUGAUUCGGCCGGGGGAGCGGCUCACGUGGUAUUAGCUGGUUGGUAGGGUGACGGCCUACCAAGGCGAAGAUGCCUAGCAGGUGUGGGAGCACGACCUGCGCCACUGGCACUGAGACACUGGCCAGACACCUACGGGUGGCUGCAGUCGAGGAUCUUCGGCAAUGGGCGCAAGCCUGACCGAGCGACGCCGCGUGCGGGAUGAAGGCCUUCGGGUUGUAAACCGCUGUCAGGGGGGAUGAAGGGCUAGGGGGUACUCCCCCUAGUCACGCUUGACACAUCCCCAGAGGAAGCACGGGCUAAGUUCGUGCCAGCAGCCGCGGUAAGACGAACCGUGCGAACGUU